Oncorhynchus keta (chum salmon) is the source of this 2952-nucleotide long non-coding RNA. RefSeq lists it as uncharacterized. NCBI's taxonomy places the organism in Eukaryota, Metazoa, Chordata, Actinopteri, Salmoniformes, Salmonidae. The transcript is spliced from 3 exons. The record is from RefSeq and is a predicted model, not a curated record.
AAUGAAAGUCAAACUAUGACCCUUUCUCAAUUGUAUACUCCUCGAGUCAUCUCUCCUGUCUCCUCGUCUCCUUCUCCAAACCCAUAUGAGGAGAAAGUCAGAAGGGAGAGACCUAUAACUUACUCAUCCAAUGGGUUUUGAGAAGGAGACGGUGAGUGGGGAGAGAGGACGCGAGGAGUAUGCAAUUGAGCAUCUCCUUAUCACUAGGGUGCGGCAGGAGACGGGAUGGGAUAGACCGUAAACAACUUUUGUCAAAUUGAAAUGGAACGAUUUGAUCCCCAGUCAUCUCUAGCCUACUCAUCAGGGGAGUCUAACCAACAGUCCAACGAACCAGUUGCAUUUGAUCUACAAUCUUUAAGUCAACUAUGGUUUUAACAGCGCACUGGUUAACGUUAGGUGUUGGUCAAUAUGCCUUUACAGUGGGAGCAGCAACAGUCUCCACGCCUGCUCUGUUGGGUCUGGGGGUAAUAGCUGCUGUCACAGUUGGCUGCUAUUACGUCUACAAAACUGGUCAUGAGAAAGAAAAGGGUAACCAGAAGAAGGCAUGAUGUGACCCCGCCCCCGGCUAGAGGAUUCAGACAUCACAGCAGAACUCCACAAGAUAAUCACAGUUUGUGUGUUUCAAGGUGUUGUUGUAUUGAGAACAUGGAAUUGCGUUAAAAAUUAAAUAUGCAGUUGCAUUUUCACAUGUGAUAAUUAUGAUUCCUUUUACUAAAUACAGCUACAUUUCCCAAACAACUAUUUAGGGCUGUAAACACAAUGUCUACUUAGAUACAAAUAAUGGAAUUGAACAUAAAAGAAGUAUGGAUUAAUACAUAUAAUUUAGUUUGAUACAUAAAUAGGCAAGUCUUUUACUUAUUCCUACAAAUGAUAAAUGAAAAACAUGAAUUGAACAGCUUGAGUGUAUGGAAGCACAAAAUAAGGGUAAUACAUUAUAUCUGGUUCAUUGACGUGAACUCAGCCUCUUCUAAUUACAUCACAAUGUAUUACCUGGUCAAACUAGAACUAGUGUCGUGUCUUUGGCAUCAUUCAACUGAAGACAUAUUUUUAUCAAAUAAAUUCUCUGUAAUUAUUACGUGAUUAAACUAACUAAUCAUGUAACUGUGAUUAACUAGGUAGUCGGGGGAACCAAGGAAAAUAUUCAGAUUACAAAGUUAGAAUUUUCCUAAUAUAACUUGAAGAUAUUUUAAUAUCUGAUCAAUUAGUCUUCUAAUGAAUGAAUUAUUCUUUACCUCACAUUAGUCUCAUUCCAAACGUCGUAAAUUGUUGAUUAUCUGCAUGAACAGUCUUUACUAUGAGUCACCCAUACAUCAAUUGUCUUAAAUCAUUUAUUUACUAACUAAAUAAUCACAGAAAUGUAUAAACAAACAAACAGAUAUAGUUACAAGGAAAUGAUAGCGGAGUUUCCCUAGUGGGAUAAACCGGUAUCGCGGAUUGGUGGACAAAAGGGAAAAGGGGGUCGACCGAGAUAAAAGACACUACAAAGUUGAUUAUCAUAACAAUUGAAAUGCUAAUCUUUUGCACAUGAACGCUCACUCAUUCGGGAAUAAUUGCAAUCAAUAUAUAUAUUUACGCUCAGUGUGUCGUCGUGAUCUCUGUUGGAAAGUUUGUUACUUUUGGAUUGGUUGUCCGCCCUCUCGCUCUCUGCGGUGGUUAGAAUGGCUAGUUCAGAGUAACAUUCAGCAAUGUUGUUAUAGAAUAGAUGUUUUGGCGGUUGUCAGUCAGAUAAAUUCCCAUGGUGGGGGUUAUAUUCAGAAGGGCAGAAAAAGGCUGUCCCAUGACACCAGAUCAAUGUCUGUACUCAUGGGGAGGGCCAAUGACUUAGUUCACUUUAAAGGGAAUUGGGUUCCCUAUCAUUAAACAGUUUAAAAUCACAUUACAUAAGUUCACAAAUAGUUUCAUCUUUACUCAUUCAUUUUACACAACAAUUAGAUGCAAGCCUCAUAACUGAGACUCUCGUAUAAACAGAGUUAUGGUAAUGUGGCUGUAUUGUCUCUCAUGAGUUUCACAAACAUUAAACGAAUUGGACCGGUCAUAGCUGGAUUCUUCCCCGACGGUGUACACCUUCUCCAAAACAUGUACAUUGUUCAGUCCUCAAGUUCUAUGUUGUGGAAGAAAUUCCUUUGUUCUCCCUAUAAACACACACUCUCUCUCUAUACUGUCUGGCCAUGAGGAAGAAUCUCCUCCAGGAACUUACGACCUGAGAUAACAGCAGCCUGGGUGAAGGAGAGAGAGGGGGGGGGGGUGGUGCUCGCUGUACCCAAAGAGGGCAACGUCGUGACACUAGGGAGGAGCUACCCAUCAGAUUAGGUGUACGAUUCACUUUGACUUUCACCUCUGCAGGCCGUCAUUGUAAGUAAGAAUUUGUUCUGAACUGACUUGCCUAGUUAAAUAUAGGUUAAAUAAACACAUUUAAAUAGAACAGAGAUAGAGGGCACCUGACCUGACACUGGACAAGAGAGCACCUGUAUUCGAAACCUUUAUAGACAUAUUCAUUUAAAAGGAAAUACUCAGGCAAGAUGGUCCAAGCAUUCUCAGUGUAGCUACUGUAAAAUCCGGUUGGUUUCACGUAGAACCUUUUACACAGAGAGUUCUACAUGGAACCCAAAAGAGUUCGACCUGGAACCAAAAAGGGUUCAGGAAAAGAAGAAUUACAUGAAAUGUACUGUCUAUCACUUAUCUGAUAUUCUGAAAUAUGGUAAAUGGCCAUUGCAACAAAAACAAGGGAAAAAAAGUUCAACAUUAUCUGAAAGUAGACUGUUAGAUAAAAACAGUUACUGAAAAAAAGACAAUGCAUUUCUCUAGUUUGCUAUAGCUACUGUUAUCUGAAUUACCACUGUUCAUAUUUAAUCGUUUUUUUCCCCUUUACCUGUGAAAGACCUUGGGACUAAAUAUAUAUCUUGUAUGUUAUUUGUUUCCAUUUGGUAAUUAAAACUUCUUGUUGAUGCAUAA